RNAcentral lists this ribosomal RNA (253 nucleotides) under uncultured bacterium. RNAcentral describes it as "partial 16S ribosomal RNA". It matches the Rfam family "Bacterial small subunit ribosomal RNA", at positions 524 to 776 of the family's 1533-position model. The record is from RNAcentral.
UACGAAGGGGGCGAGCGUUGUUCGGAUUUACUGGGCGUAAAGGGCGCGCAGGCGGCGCAUUUUGUCAGGCGUGAAAGCCCCGGGCUUAACCUGGGAACUGCGUUUGAUACGGAUGGGCUAGAGUUCGGGAGAGGAGAGUGGAAUUCCCAGUGUAGAGGUGAAAUUCGUAGAUAUUGGGAAGAACACCAGUGGCGAAGGCGGCUUACUGGUCCGGUUCUGACGCUGAGGCGCGAAAGCGUGGGGAGCAAACAGG